ACGCUGGCGGCAGGCUUAACACAUGCAGGUCGAACGGUAACAGGGAUUAGCUUGCUAAUCUGCUGACGAGUGGCGGACGGGUGAGUAAUGCUUGGGAAUCUGGCUUAUGGAGGGGGAUAACUACGGGAAACUGUAGCUAAUACCGCGUAAAAUCUUCGGAUUAAAGGGUGGGACUUUCGAGCCACCUGCCAUAAGAUGAGCCCAAGUGGGAUUAGGUAGUUGGUUAGGUAAAGGCUGACCAAGCCGACGAUCUCUAGCUGGUCUGAGAGGAUGACCAGCCACACUGGAACUGAGACACGGUCCAGACUCCUACGGGAGGCAGCAGUGGGGAAUAUUGCACAAUGGGGGGAACCCUGAUGCAGCCAUGCCGCGUGAAUGAAGAAGGCCUUCGGGUUGUAAAGUUCUUUCGGUGACGAGGAAGGUUGAUAGGUUAAUAGCCUAUCAAAUUGACGUUAAUCACAGAAGAAGCACCGGCUAACUCCGUGCCAGCAGCCGCGGUAAUACGGGGGGUGCGAGCGUUAAUCGGAAUAACUGGGCGUAAAGGGCACGCAGGCGGUGACUUAAGUGAGAUGUGAAAGCCCCGAGCUUAACUUGGGAAUUGCAUUUCAUACUGGGUCGCUAGAGUACUUUAGGGAGGGGUAGAAUUCCACGUGUAGCGGUGAAAUGCGUAGAGAUGUGGAGGAAUACCGAAGGCGAAGGCAGCCCCUUGGGAAUGUACUGACGCUCAUGUGCGAAAGCGUGGGGAGCAAACAGGAUUAGAUACCCUGGUAGUCCACGCUGUAAACGAUGUCGAUUUGGGGAUUGGGCUUUGAGCUUGGUGCCCGUAGCUAACGUGAUAAAUCGACCGCCUGGGGAGUACGGCCGCAAGGUUAAAACUCAAAUGAAUUGACGGGGGCCCGCACAAGCGG
RNAcentral lists this ribosomal RNA (908 nucleotides) under uncultured bacterium. RNAcentral describes it as "bacterial SSU rRNA". It matches the Rfam family "Bacterial small subunit ribosomal RNA", at positions 33 to 932 of the family's 1533-position model. The record is from RNAcentral.